AAUUGACAACUUUGGUAUUGUUUGGUAUAAACAGCUUAAUUCCUUUAUGUAAAGCCACCUUAACAUGUUUUUGCAUAAUUCUGACUCACGUUGGUUGCUAUCGGGCUUAAGCCAUAAAAAUCGAAGAAAAAAAGAAGAAGACGUCCACUUUCACUUGUCAUUUCAAUGUCACUUUCCGGCCCACAAGCAUAAACGCCACCGGCAACGGGAGUUCCCAAAUCCAAACAAAGGUUGGAAGAUAUUUUUAAGUCUCCACAUCUUUCUUACUUUUCUAUAUGAAAAUAAAAUUGGACUACACCAACAAAGGUUAUGUGUUUUGCACCAGAUUGAAAGCAUCAUAGCGAAAAACGGACCUGUCAUUUCUUUAAAUUUCCAAAAGAGCCCCUGGAAAAAGAAAAAUUAAUAUCUCUGCUAAGGAAUACUAAGGCAAAUGGAUAAAAAACCUUCAGUCCAUGCAUUGGUAUGUAAUUAAUAUAAUAUUGACAAAAAUACAAUGAAUGGCCUCACUACUUUUCCACAUGCAAAGAGGUUAACCAAGGAGAAAUUAAAGAAAUUGUCAGAAACCUAGGUAAAUACAGAAUUGCUUAGUACAAACUUAUCUAUACCCAGUACAAGUUUGUCCACUUCUUUGAAGCAUGGUACUUCAAACAGAGAAACUGUCAACGAUUUGGUAGAAGGUGAGCCCAUGUCAAAUUCCAGUAAGAGACAUGAUUUCAAUUUUGCACCAACAGCAGAGCCGAAAUUCAUUUUGCUUAUUAAGUUUUGCAAAUUAAGUUUUUCAUAUGAGCAUAUAAAAAAUAUUCAUAACAAAGUUCAGUUGUAUACAGGUUUGACAUGUAAUAAAUAUUUUGUAACCUUAUUAAGUUAAUUAGUUUUAUACAUUAUUUAAAUAAUAAUUGUAUAGUUCACAUAGAAUAGGCAGAAAUUAUAUGUACAUAUAUAAAAAAUUUUAUUAAGAUAAGGAGAACAUGUAUUAAAGCAUAACACAUA
This is a long non-coding RNA of Anthonomus grandis grandis, 990 nucleotides long. RefSeq lists it as uncharacterized. Lineage: Eukaryota; Metazoa; Arthropoda; Insecta; Coleoptera; Curculionidae. The transcript is spliced from 4 exons. The record is from RefSeq and is a predicted model, not a curated record.